RNAcentral lists this ribosomal RNA (253 nucleotides) under uncultured bacterium. RNAcentral describes it as "partial 16S ribosomal RNA". It matches the Rfam family "Bacterial small subunit ribosomal RNA", at positions 524 to 776 of the family's 1533-position model. The record is from RNAcentral.
UACGUAGGGUGCAAGCGUUGUCCGGAAUUAUUGGGCGUAAAGAGCUCGUAGGCGGUCUGUUGCGUCGGCUGUGAAAACCCGGGGCUCAACUCCGGGCCUGCAGCCGAUACGGGCAGACUAGAGUUCGGCAGGGGAGACUGGAAUUCCUGGUGUAGCGGUGAAAUGCGCAGAUAUCAGGAGGAACACCGGUGGCGAAGGCGGGUCUCUGGGCAACAACUGACGCUGAGGAGCGAAGGCGUGGGGAGCGAACAGG